UCCGGUUUGUCACCGGCAGUCUCAUUAGAGUGCCCAACUGAAUGUAGCAACUAAUGACAAGGGUUGCGCUCGUUGCGGGACUUAACCCAACAUCUCACGACACGAGCUGACGACAGCCAUGCAGCACCUGUGUUACGGCUCCCUUUCGGGCACGCCUCCCUCUCGAGAGGCUUCCGUACAUGUCAAGGGUAGGUAAGGUUUUUCGCGUUGCGUCGAAUUGAACCACAUGCUCCACCGCUUGUGCGGGUCCCCGUCAAUUCCUUUGAGUUUUAACCUUGCGGCCGUACUCCCCAGGCGGUCAACUUCACGCGUUAGCUUCGUUACCAAGGGAAUCAAUCCCCCGACAACCAGUUGACAUAGUUUAGGGCGUGGACUAC
Molecule: unclassified non-coding RNA, 377 nt
Filed under: uncultured Gammaproteobacteria bacterium
Lineage: Bacteria; Pseudomonadati; Pseudomonadota; Gammaproteobacteria
Description: contains 16S-23S intergenic spacer region
Source: RNAcentral